GAUGAAUAACGUAGCGAAAUGCGAUAAGUAAUGUGAAUUGCAGAAUUCAGUGAAUCAUCGAAUCUUUGAACGCACAUUGCGCCCGUUAGCAUUCUAGCGGGCAUGCCUGUCCGAGCGUCAUUUCAACCCUCAGGGUCCCCGUUCCGGCGGGGAACCUGGUGUUGGGGAUCGGCCCGCCCCGUGCGGCGCCGUCCCCCAAAUUCAGUGGCGGUCUCGCUGCAGCCUCCCCUGCGUAGUAGUUACAACCUCGCAUCGGAGCUCAGCGCGGCCACGCCGUAAAACCCCCGACUUUCUGAACGUUGACCUCGGAUCAGGUAGGAAUACCCGCUGAACUUAAGCAUAUCAAUAAGCGGAGGA
This 357-nucleotide unclassified non-coding RNA is filed under the name soil metagenome. Its description in RNAcentral is "partial contains 5.8S ribosomal RNA, internal transcribed spacer 2, and large subunit ribosomal RNA". The stretch from base 1 to 120 matches the Rfam family "5.8S ribosomal RNA", at positions 35 to 154 of the family's 154-position model. The record is from RNAcentral.